This 703-nucleotide long non-coding RNA is filed under the name Daucus carota (carrot). RNAcentral's name for it is "long non-coding RNA (DCAR_LNC000224)". The record is from RNAcentral. Lineage: Eukaryota; Viridiplantae; Streptophyta; Magnoliopsida; Apiales; Apiaceae.
UCAAUUGAAACUUAGAUACAUGAUGGAGAUGGAGACUAGAGGGAAAUGCAAGCUUCACCAUUUCCAGAAGACAUUGGAACCACACUUGUAUUUAUCCUUUCCUUUGCACUCCAGCUCCAGGUCGUCGGUAAUGAAAGGCACUUUCUGCAAUAUUGGCCAUGAUCCAGUUAGUAAUUAUGUAAUUUUUCACAACUCUGUUGUAAAUGGUUUUGGUGAAUGUAAUGCACUAACCUUUUGCCUGGCAAGAUCUUGGCAGCCAGUGAAGUUGUAAGGGAAGUUGCAUGACCCAAAUUGCACGGUGAAUGCCCUGUAGAAGUUUGCUCCACUUGUUGCCAAUCUCUUCUUGUCAUUCAAUUCCUAUAAUUUUUACAACAUGAAUAGAGUUUGUUAAUAACAGCUAGAGAAACCAGUUGCGCCAACAAGCAAUCCAGGAAUCUGAUCACAAUUAGAUAAAUGACAAGAGAAGACAAACCUUGUUAGUUUUCGAUCUCUCAAGUGCAUCCUCAAUAGGGCCAGCAUUAGCAGAAGUAGCCGUGGCGAAAAGAGCAGCUCCAAGGCAAAGAAGUGCUGCCCUCCUUCCUUGGCUACCGGACUCGCUUGAUUCAGAAGCUUUGACAUUCUGAGCCCUGAUAACUGGCACUUUAGCAGCCAAGGCAGGCACUGAAACAAGCUUAGAGUUGAGGCUAAGCUCCGAUGAUCCGCU